Pygoscelis adeliae (Adelie penguin) is the source of this 174-nucleotide long non-coding RNA. RefSeq lists it as uncharacterized. The record is from RefSeq and is a predicted model, not a curated record. The transcript has 3 exons. Lineage: Eukaryota; Metazoa; Chordata; Aves; Sphenisciformes; Spheniscidae.
CGGCAUAUUACAAGGGCAACCUCGUGGCCGUGAAGCACCUCAACCGCAAGCGCAUCGAGCUGACGCGCAAGGUCUUGUUCGAGCUGAAGCACAUGCGGGAUGUCCAAAACGAGCAUCUGACCCGCUUCAUCGGCGCCUGCACCGACCCCCCGAACAUUUGCAUCCUGACCGAGU